UUUGACCGCGCGCGUGUGGGCGCUGACCUUGCGGGACUUCUCCAGCAGCUUGCUCACCGUGUUGCUGGUGGAGGCCUGGUACUUGGAGAGCUUGGUGAGGUCAUUCUGGAUGCCCUUCACGGAGCCCUCCAAACUGAUCUGUCGCUGCUCCAUCUUGUGCUGGUUCUCCUGCACAGCGUCUAGCAUGUUCACCAGCUUGUCCAGGAGCGUGAGCACCGUGACUGCGUUCACCUGCAUUGUGGCUCUGGAGACCUGGAAGCACUGCUAACUGUUCUCUCGAUUUUCUGACGCUCGGCCACAUCAACCUGUCAUACUAGUUGUGAGGAGAAGUCAAGGACAGUGACACAGCCAGCCAGUCUGAGGCAUUUUCCAUCAUCCUGAAGGAGUUGCCCUAUCCUGCUUUUCACUGGAGGGGGCAUGGAUGGGGGCUCCUGACACACUGACCUCUGUCAGUUCCUUCAGCACACCAGGCUAAUCCCCAGUCUUGCGCCUUUGGACCA
RNAcentral lists this long non-coding RNA (500 nucleotides) under Homo sapiens (human). Its description in RNAcentral is "HSALNT0307983". Lineage: Eukaryota; Metazoa; Chordata; Mammalia; Primates; Hominidae. The record is from RNAcentral.